Molecule: transfer RNA, 87 nt
Filed under: Bacillota bacterium
Lineage: Bacteria; Bacillati; Bacillota
Description: Firmicutes bacterium (anaerobic digester metagenome) tRNA-Leu
Rfam family: tRNA
About the family: Transfer RNA (tRNA) molecules are approximately 80 nucleotides in length. Their secondary structure includes four short double-helical elements and three loops (D, anti-codon, and T loops).
Source: RNAcentral
GCCGGGGUGGCGGAAUGGCAGACGCGGAGGUCUCAAAAACCUCUGGGCCUUGCGCCCAUGCGGGUUCGAGUCCCGCCCCCGGCACCA